Molecule: ribosomal RNA, 540 nt
Filed under: uncultured Acidobacteriota bacterium
Lineage: Bacteria; Pseudomonadati; Acidobacteriota
Description: bacterial SSU rRNA
Rfam family: Bacterial small subunit ribosomal RNA
Source: RNAcentral
AGAGUUUGAUCAUGGCUCAGAGCGAACGCUGGCGGCGUGCCUAACACAUGCAAGUCGCACGAGAAAGGGGUCGCAAGACCCCCGGUACAGUGGCGAACGGGUGAGUAACACGUGGGUAACCUGCCCCUGGAUUCGGAAUAACCUGCCGAAAGGCGGGCUAAUACCGGAUGACAUCGCGUGGUCUUCGGACCAUGCGAUCAAAGCUGACCUCUUCAUGAAAGUUGGCGUCUGGGGAGGGGCCCGCGGCCCAUUAGCUAGUUGGUGAGGUAACGGCUCACCAAGGCUCCGAUGGGUAGCCGGCCUGAGAGGGCGACCGGCCACAGUGGAACUGAGACACGGUCCACACUCCUACGGGAGGCAGCAGUGAGGAAUCUUGCGCAAUGGGGGAAACCCUGACGCAGCGACGCCGCGUGGACGAUGAAGGCCUUCGGGUCGUAAAGUCCUGUCGGGUGGGAAGAAAAGGUUUGUGGCUAAUAUCCACAGAUCUCGACUGUACCACCAGAGGAAGCCCCGGCUAACUCCGUGCCAGCAGCCGCGGUA